UGAGGGAAUAUUGGGUCAAUGGGCGGAAGCCUGAACCAGCCAUGCCGCGUGAAGGACUAAGGCCCUAUGGGUCGUAAACUUCUUUAGACGCAGAGCAAUAAGGGUCUCGCGAGAUCCGAUGAGAGUAUGCGUAGAAUAAGCAUCGGCUAACUCCGUGCCAGCAGCCGCGGUAAUACGGGGGAUGCGAGCGUUAUCCGGAUUUAUUGGGUUUAAAGGGUGCGUAGGCGGAAGUGCAAGUCAGCGGUGAAAUGCUUAGAUAUCACGAAGAACUCCGAUUGCGAAGGCAGCUCACGGGAGCGCAACUGACGCUGAAGCUCGAAAGUGCGGGGUAUCGAACAGGAUUAGAUACCCUGGUAGU
RNAcentral lists this ribosomal RNA (358 nucleotides) under uncultured bacterium. RNAcentral's name for it is "bacterial SSU rRNA". It matches the Rfam family "Bacterial small subunit ribosomal RNA", at positions 354 to 794 of the family's 1533-position model. The record is from RNAcentral.